CACACUGGUAAAGUUUCAAGAUCAAUACAAAUAUUGGAAAACAGCUGAAACAAAGUUACCAGACGUACAAUUGAGGAAAUCACACAGAAUCAAUUAUUCCUACACAAUUAAAUUGUACAAUGUCAGAUAAAUCUAGCUACUGAAGUUCUGAGCCUGCUUGCAAGAAGCUAAGAGAAACCUCUGGGUCUUGACUACUACCAUGCUUGCUCAGGGUUUUAUGUCCCAGUUCCAGUCACUGAGCAAUGAUCUUUAGAGGAGUUCACACCAUUACUGUUCUGAGGCUUUGCAUUUAUCAAGGAUGUUCGCUCACUGGGAGGACUG
Molecule: long non-coding RNA, 321 nt
Filed under: Phasianus colchicus (ring-necked pheasant)
Lineage: Eukaryota; Metazoa; Chordata; Aves; Galliformes; Phasianidae
Description: lncRNA (ENSPCLG00000002642.1)
Source: RNAcentral